UUUCUUCCGAAAACAAGCUCAAUGAGAGCCAUCGGGGGUAGAUCUAUCUCAUGACGAGUGGUGGAAUACUUUGACUCAUGAGAGAGAAGCUGAGGCGAAGGCGUCUACCUAGAGGGUUUCUGUCGAUCAAGGGCGAGAGUAGGAGUAUCCAACAGGAUUAGAGACCCUGGUAGUUCCUACCUUAAACGAUGCCGACAGGAGUUUGUCAUUUGUUAAUGGCAGAAUCUUUGGAGAAAUCAUAGUUCUUGGGCUCUGGGGGAACUACGACCGCAAGGCUGAAACUUGAAGGAAUUGACGGAAGGGCACACCAGGGGUGGAGCCUGUGGCUUAAUUUGAAUCAACACGGGGAAACUUACCAGGACCAGAUGUUUUUUAUGACUGACAGGCUUCGGGUCUUUCAGGAUAUUGUUUUUGGUGGUGCAUGGCCGUUGGUGGUGCGUGGGUUGACCUGUCUAGCGUUGAUUCAGCUAACGAGCGAGAUUAUCGCCAAUUAUUUACUUUGCCGAAGUCCUUCGGUUAAAGUUCUAAUUGGGACUCCCUGCGAUUUUAGCAGGUGGAAGAGGGUAGCAAUAACAGGUCCGUGAUGCCCUUUAGAUGCUCUGGGCUGCACGCGUGCUACAAUGUUAGGAUCAAUAGGACUGCGAGCCUGAGAGGGUGCGCUACUCUUAUAAUCCCUAACGUAGUUGGGAUUGACGUUUGUAAUCAGCGUCAUGAACCAGGAAUCCCUUGUAAAUGUGUGUCAACAACGCACGUUGAAUACGUCCCUGCCCUUUGUACACACCGCCCGUCGCUCCUACCGAUUGGAUGACUCGGUGAAAUCACCGGAUGCUUACGAGCAGAAAGUGAUUAAAUCACGUUAUCUAGAGGAAGGAGAAGUCGUAACAAGGUAACGGUAGGUGAACCUGCCGUGGAUCAGUU
Molecule: non-coding RNA, 918 nt
Filed under: Trichomonas vaginalis G3
Lineage: Eukaryota; Parabasalia; Trichomonadida; Trichomonadidae
Description: Eukaryotic small subunit ribosomal RNA
Rfam family: Eukaryotic small subunit ribosomal RNA
Source: Rfam by way of RNAcentral